UACGGUGGCCAUACCAUCUUGCAAGUGCCCAAUCUCAUCCAAUCUUGGAAGCUAAGCAGCCUGCUUACUACUUGAAUGGGAGACCGCCUUGGAAGACCAGGCGCCAUUAGAC
Molecule: ribosomal RNA, 112 nt
Filed under: Mastacembelus armatus (zig-zag eel)
Lineage: Eukaryota; Metazoa; Chordata; Actinopteri; Synbranchiformes; Mastacembelidae
Source: RNAcentral